RNAcentral lists this unclassified non-coding RNA (218 nucleotides) under Hevea brasiliensis (rubber tree). Lineage: Eukaryota; Viridiplantae; Streptophyta; Magnoliopsida; Malpighiales; Euphorbiaceae. The record is from RNAcentral.
AAAACAAGCUUCUAAGAGCUUCUGGUACAGGUAAAGAUUCAAUGGUGAUCCAUCUGCCCAAUGGCAAGUAUCAUAACCUGAUCCAUCGGAGGACCUGCAGGCUAGAGACAUUACAGCACUGCGCAGAACUUGCAUUGACUCUGAAUUCUUCCCUGUUUCAAGUGGCCUCUCUGAAGCGCCGCGUAUGAUUUGUCGAAGUCGUUGUGAUGCAGGGUCAG